RNAcentral lists this ribosomal RNA (253 nucleotides) under uncultured bacterium. RNAcentral's name for it is "partial 16S ribosomal RNA". It matches the Rfam family "Bacterial small subunit ribosomal RNA", at positions 524 to 776 of the family's 1533-position model. The record is from RNAcentral.
GACGGAGGGUGCUAGCGUUGUUCGGAUUUACUGGGCGUAAAGGGCGCGUAGGCGGCCUUCUCAGUCGGGUGUGAAAGCCCGGGGCUCAACCCCGGAACGGCACCCGAGACGGGAAGGCUGGAGACCGGGAGAGGAGGGUGGAAUAGCCAGUGUAGAGGUGAAAUUCGUAGAUAUUGGCUGGAACACCGGUGGCGAAAGCGGCUCUCUGGCCCGGUAUUGACGCUGAGGCGCGAAAGCUAGGGGAGCAAACGGG